UGGGGAAUAUUGGACAAUGGGCGCAAGCCUGAUCCAGCCAUGCCGCGUGUGUGAAGAAGGCCUUUUGGUUGUAAAGCACUUUAAGCGAGGAGGAGGCUACUUGGAUUAAUACUCUAGGAUAGUGGACGUUACUCGCAGAAUAAGCACCGGCUAACUCUGUGCCAGCAGCCGCGGUAAUACAGAGGGUGCGAGCGUUAAUCGGAUUUACUGGGCGUAAAGCGUGCGUAGGCGGCUUCUUAAGUCGGAUGUGAAAUCCCUGAGCUUAACUUAGGAAUUGCAUUCGAUACGGGGAAGCUAGAGUAUGGGAGAGGAUGGUAGAAUUCCAGGUGGAACGGUGAAAUGCGUAGAGAUCUAGAGGAAUGCCGAUGGCGAAGGCAGCCAUCUGGCCUAAUACUGACGCUGAGGUACGAAAGCAUGGGGAGCAAACAGG
Molecule: ribosomal RNA, 430 nt
Filed under: Bacillota bacterium
Lineage: Bacteria; Bacillati; Bacillota
Description: Firmicutes bacterium partial 16S ribosomal RNA
Rfam family: Bacterial small subunit ribosomal RNA
Source: RNAcentral